CAGAGUAGAGAUGGAAUCGAUCAGCAAAGGAAUAUUGGAAUGAGAACAAACAAUUUCUUAAUUACGGUUGGUGGGAUGGUUGGUUGGUUAGUGGUUACCUUGUGGUGGAAGGGCAGAAUGUAAUCGUAUAAUCGGCGCCUUUACAUGUAAAAGUACUCGUGGCAUCGUCGUAGGCGUAGCUAUAGGCCCUGGGACACGCAUUCUUGAAAAUCUCCGAAUACAUCGACGGCCUGCAAGUCGACGGUGAGCCAUACUCUCCGCUGCAACAGUACUCCGGACUGCCAAAUGCCUCGCAUGCACUCUUGCAUGCCUGCCCCUCCCCGCCCCGCAAUUCGUUCGGGCACAUCCUGUUCAAGUCAGUCGCACACCCCGUUGCCCCGCAAGCACCUGACCCCCCACUUGGCUCCACCAUCAUUGGCAGAUUGUAGCCGUCCACCAGGCUGACGUCGUAGAAGUCCUGGGUUCCCGAGUCAGGGCCAGACCCGACUGUGAACUCCGCAAGAGUUGCGGGUGGGGUUGCCCCUGCACCAUUGCACUCCAGCUGGUUGGACCCACAAUCGCCGGUGGCGCAGCUUCCUUGCCCGGUUGAGGGGUCGAAUGUACAACCUGUUCUGCCCCAAAACCGGCCUGACCAGCUGGGAGGAGCUUGGAAGGACCUGGACCCCCCCGGUGGAAGUUCAAACCCGGUGCUGUCCAACUUGGCGCUGCCGGCGUUGGCUAAUAUUCCUGGCCAUACCAUGUGGUUGCACCUGUUUACUAAUGUAAAUGUAGCCCCUGAAAUUUCUGCCAAAAAACACACACACACACACAUAUAAAUACAACGUCAACAAUCAGUCCAUCAAUGUGAUUCUUAGUUACACACAUCAGUUACACACACAAACGUCACGUGCAUGUUACAUGUAUAUGUGUGUGUGUGUGUGUAUAUAUAUAACUAUAACUAUAACUAGCUAGCUGAAUCAACGUUAAUAGAGUAGGUUUUUUGUAAUUAACUGAAAAUUAAUAGAAAAAGGAAAUAGUAAAAUAUAAUGUUACUGCGUCCAUUAGGAUACAAACCUUUGCUGUUGAUCACUAGGAAAACCAAGAUGAUGCGAAGACAGAAACAAGUCGAGGACAUUGGCAGAAUUGGAAUCAAUCAAUGAAA
Molecule: long non-coding RNA, 1141 nt
Filed under: Coffea arabica (coffee)
Lineage: Eukaryota; Viridiplantae; Streptophyta; Magnoliopsida; Gentianales; Rubiaceae
Description: long non-coding RNA (CARA_LNC006675)
Source: RNAcentral